This is a long non-coding RNA of Varroa destructor (honeybee mite), 1281 nucleotides long. Lineage: Eukaryota; Metazoa; Arthropoda; Arachnida; Mesostigmata; Varroidae. The record is from RefSeq and is a predicted model, not a curated record.
GCUGAUGAAACGAACCUCAGACGAUUAGGGCUAGUGGUCGUCAUAAUUCAGAGAUUGAGAAUUCAGAACGAAAACGAUGUUGAUAGUUGACGGAUAGUCAUGAGGCUGGACGCAAAAGGAAACGUCACAAAAACAAGUGUUAGAGGUAGCAAAGCGAUGGGAAAAUCAAACGUUUUCCAAACAAGACUAAGAAUUCCCUAAGCAAAAAAUCUUCGAACGCCGUGGAUUGUUCGAUUCUAUAGCUGAAUCGACGUGACAAAUUAGCGGGCUGAUGCUGUGCCCUUUAAGAGCCAAGAAGAAGUUUUGCAGAACGAUCAUGGCCAAAAAAAAGCAUCCAUCGGCUCGACGUCGACUUCAGUACUCGGCCUAAGCAACGCUUUCGAAGACCAUUACAUCUAUUUACCAAGAGGAAUUUUUGAGAAACCUAACAAAGGUAAAAUGUUACCCAUGAUUGACCUUACCAGAGCAUGGUUCCAACUAAAAGCGGUAACAAGUGGCCAACAUUUGUUACUGUCAAUAUAUAUAAAUAUAAACAGACCUCCUUCGUAUAUGACAGCUUUUAGAAGAGGCACAAGAUUAUUUCUUCGGGAUUUGACUCGAAAGGUUUGCCCCUAAUUCACAAUUCCGUCGAAUGACAUAACCGUCGUUCCGGAAGAAACGCAGCAAGAUUCAAGGCUUGUUAUGACAAAUCUGAAUGGUGACACCGAGUCCCGAACUUGUACUCCUGCAACACUAAAAUACCCGACCUGUCAAACUGCCAUUGGGACACACCCAAAACAACCCACAGUCGAUUUAUGUUACAAAAACGUUAAUCGUUUUGUCUUUAAGGGUGGAACGUCGUGUAAGCAUAUACAAUUCCUCGAGGAUUUCUGUCUAAAAUAUGGGCAGGACAUCUAUACCUUUAAUAUGCCCCCUUUUCCCUUUGGAGAUAUCGUUGAUUCCAUCUAUAUUAUAGUAACCAAUUUUAGCAAAAUAUCUUUCUUAUUUUAAUGUUACGUUUUCUUCGUGUGGGGUCAGUUGUUCGUUACAUUGACUACUACCAGCUUUUUCCAUUUCGGCUGCGUUAUUGUUGACGAGUAUACGAUACACUAAGAAGGCGGGAGUACGUUUGCUGUAUCAUAUCUGCGCUUGAAUUAGCUAUAUAUAUAUAUAUAUAUAAUAUAUAUAUAUCUUUAAACGUAUUAUAAAAUAGGAACAGAGAGUGCUGUCCUAGCAGGCUAGUAAAUUCUAGAGUGAAAGAACAUGCUGGCGUGACAAAAGUGAGCAAAAGUCAAUUGAUAG